This 628-nucleotide long non-coding RNA is filed under the name Homo sapiens (human). Its description in RNAcentral is "HSALNT0267939". The record is from RNAcentral. Lineage: Eukaryota; Metazoa; Chordata; Mammalia; Primates; Hominidae.
GGUCUUUGUCAGUGCCUUCUCCUUUGGGUUUGGGCCAGGACCUGGCUUGUCCUCAGCGAGAUCUACCCUGUGGAGAUACGAGGAAGAGCCUUCGCCUUCUGCAACAGCUUCAACUGGGCGGCCAACCUCUUCAUCAGCCUCUCCUUCCUCGAUCUCAUUGCACCAUCGGCUUGUCCUGGACCUUCCUGCUCUACGGACUGACCGCUGUCCUCGGCCUGGGCUUCAUCUAUUUAUUUGUUCCUGAAACAAAAGGCCAGUCGUUGGCAGAGAUAGACCAGCAGUUCCAGAAGAGACGUUCACCCUGAGCUUUGGCCACAGGCAGAACUCCACUGGCAUCCCGUACAGCCGCAUCGAGAUCUCUGCGGCCUCCUGAGGAAUCCGUCUGCCUGGAAAUUCUGGAACUGUGGCUUUGGCAGACCAUCUCCAGCAUCCUGCUUCCUAGGCCCCAGAGCACAAGUUCCAGCUGGUCUUUUGGGAGUGGCCCCUGCCCCCAAAGGUGGUCUGCUUUUGCUGGGGUAAAAAGGAUGAAAGUCUGAGAAUGCCCAACUCUUCAUUUUGAGUCUCAGGCCCUGAAGGUUCCUGAGGAUCUAGCUUCAUGCCUCAGUUUCCCCAUUGACUUGCACAUCUC